RNAcentral lists this ribosomal RNA (235 nucleotides) under uncultured bacterium. RNAcentral's name for it is "partial 16S ribosomal RNA". It matches the Rfam family "Bacterial small subunit ribosomal RNA", at positions 15 to 240 of the family's 1533-position model. The record is from RNAcentral.
GAUCCUGGCUCAGGAUGAACGCUAGCUACAGGCUUAACACAUGCAAGUCGAGGGGGCGAGCAUGAACUUAGCUUGCUAAGUUUGAUGGCGACCGGCGCACAGGUGAGUAACACGUAUCCAACCUGCCGAUGACUCGGGGAUAGCCUUUCGAAAGAAAGAUUAAUACCCGAUGGCAUAGUUCUUCCGCAUGGUAGAACUAUUAAAGGAUUUCGGUCAUCGAUGGGGAUGCGUUCCA